This is a non-coding RNA of Armatimonadetes bacterium 13_1_40CM_3_65_7, 81 nucleotides long. Lineage: Bacteria; Bacillati; Armatimonadota. The record is from Rfam.
CUCGAUAAAGGCAAACCCGUCGUGAGGCGGGGACGCAAAGCCACGGGGCUCUACCCAGUAGAGUUAGCCGGGUUGCCGAAG